This 349-nucleotide ribosomal RNA is filed under the name uncultured bacterium. Its description in RNAcentral is "bacterial SSU rRNA". It matches the Rfam family "Bacterial small subunit ribosomal RNA", at positions 29 to 390 of the family's 1533-position model. The record is from RNAcentral.
AAUGAACGUUGGCGGCGUGGAUUAGGCAUGCAAGUCGAGCGAGGAAACAGGUAGCAAUAUGUGUUAUUCGAGCGGCGUAAGGGGCAGUAAUACCUGGGAACGUACCCUGAGGUCGGGGAUAGCUGCUGGAAACGGCGAGUAAUACCCGAUGAUCUCGGAAGAGCAAAGGCUUGCCGCCUUGGGAGCGGCCCAGGCGAUAUUAGCUAGUUGGUGAGGUAACGGCUUACCAAGGCUUAGAUGUCUAGCGGGUGUGAGAGCACGACCCGCGCCACUGGCACUGAGACACUGGCCAGACACCUACGGGUGGCUGCAGUCGAGAAUCUUCGGCAAUGAGCGCAAGCUUGACCGA